UGCCCCAUGGCUGAGUUGGUUACAGCGUCCGACUGUUAUUACAACGCAAUCGGAAGGUCGUGAGUUCGAGCCUCACUGGGGCAG
Trametes cinnabarina is the source of this 84-nucleotide non-coding RNA. The record is from Rfam. Lineage: Eukaryota; Fungi; Basidiomycota; Agaricomycetes; Polyporales; Polyporaceae.